AGUGAGCGCUGGCGGUAGGCCUAACACAUGCAAGUCGAACGGCAGCACAGUAAGAGCUUGCUCUUACGGGUGGCGAGUGGCGGACGGGUGAGGAAUACAUCGGAAUCUACUUUUUCGUGGGGGAUAACGUAGGGAAACUUACGCUAAUACCGCAUACGACCUACGGGUGAAAGCAGGGGAUCUUCGCACCUUGCGCGAUUGAAUGAGCCGAUGUCGGAUUAGCUAGUUGGCGGGGUAAAGGCCCACCAAGGCGACGAUCCGUAGCUGGUCUGAGAGGAUGAUCAGCCACACUAGAGCUGAGACACGGUCCAGACUCCUACGGGAGGCAGCAGUGGGGAAUAUUGGACAAUGGGCGCAAGCCUGAUCCAGCCAUACCGCGUGGGUGAAGAAGGCCUUCGGGUUGUAAAGCCCUUUUGUUGGGAAAGAAAAGCAGCAGGUUAAUACCCCGCUGUUCUGACGGUACCCAAAGAAUAAGCACCGGCUAACUUCGUG
Molecule: ribosomal RNA, 492 nt
Filed under: uncultured bacterium
Lineage: Bacteria
Description: partial 16S ribosomal RNA
Rfam family: Bacterial small subunit ribosomal RNA
Source: RNAcentral